This 93-nucleotide transfer RNA is filed under the name Gammaproteobacteria bacterium. Its description in RNAcentral is "tRNA-Ser". It matches the Rfam family "tRNA". Rfam says of the family: Transfer RNA (tRNA) molecules are approximately 80 nucleotides in length. RNAcentral also lists the same sequence under 2 other names. The record is from RNAcentral. Lineage: Bacteria; Pseudomonadati; Pseudomonadota; Gammaproteobacteria.
GGAGAGGUGGCCGAGUGGCUGAAGGCGCUCCCCUGCUAAGGGAGUAUGCGGCUUAAUACCGCAUCGGGGGUUCGAAUCCCCCCCUCUUCGCCA